RNAcentral lists this unclassified non-coding RNA (151 nucleotides) under uncultured fungus. RNAcentral describes it as "sequence contains ITS1, 5.8S rRNA gene". Lineage: Eukaryota; Fungi. The record is from RNAcentral.
CAGAAGUCUUUUCCGACUCCUAAACCACUGUGAAUCUACCUUUUGUUGUUGCUUCGGCAGGCCGCCCCUCGGGAGGGGACCAAACGGGCUGCCGGAGGUAUUUAAACUCUUAUGUUUUAGCGGUCUUCUGAGCACUAAACAAAAUAAAUCA